This 1552-nucleotide long non-coding RNA is filed under the name Ananas comosus (pineapple). RNAcentral's name for it is "long non-coding RNA (ACOM_LNC024963)". The record is from RNAcentral. Lineage: Eukaryota; Viridiplantae; Streptophyta; Magnoliopsida; Poales; Bromeliaceae.
GGGAAGUUUCUUGCGAUUUUUUUUUCAUUUUUGAUACUCAUUGAUCUAAUUACAUUAAGUCUUUGUUUGGUUAGGGGUCAAGGGAUGGAAUAAUCUCUUAACCUCAUAUUAUUUCCAAACACCUCCAAAAAUUAGUGGGAUUAAUUAAUCCCACCUCAAAUGGGCUAUCCCGGGUUAGCUAACCCCACCUAACCCUAACCAAAUAUUAUUUUCUAUUCAUAAUAACCCUCUUUUUUUCUUAUCUCAUUUACUCCAAUUAAACACUAUUUUUUACUAUUCUGAGCUAACUUUAAUCCCCAACCAAAUACAAAAAUACUCUAAUUUCAUCUUAAUUCUGAAUUUAACUCUAUUUCUGAAAUAAUUAAUUUUUUUUUACUUCCGAAUCGAGCGGUAGCUUAAAAAAUAGAAAACGAAAAAGAAAAUAGUAGAGUAGGAUUGCUAGGCCGGCACCAGGAUCAAAACGCAUUCAAAGGUUACAUCACCCAUCAAUUCUCAUAAAUUAUUGUUACCCCUNCUGCUGUAAUUGGAACCAGGAGGAUGAAAUCAAGUUAAAGCUUAAGCAAUUCUUUACAAUUAACUCAACCGGUUAAAAUUGGGGAAGUUUCUUGCGAUUUUUUUUUCAUUUUUGAUACUCAUUGAUCUAAUUACAUUAAGCUUUUGUUUGUUGGGAGUUAAGGGGUGGAAUAACCUCUUAACCCUCAUAUUAUUUCCAAACACUUCUAAAAAUAUAUAGGGUUAGCUAAUCCCAUCUCAAAUGGGUUAUUCCGGAUUAGCUAAUCCUACCUAACCCCAACCAAACACUAUUUUCUAUUCAUAAUAACCCACUAUUCUUCUUAUCCCACCUAUUUUAACCAAACACUAUUUUUCACUAUCGUGGACUAACUCCAACCCCCAACGAAACACAAAAAUAUUUUAAUCCCAUCUUAAUUCUGAAUUUAAUCCUAUUUCUAGAAUAGAUAGUUUUUUCAAAUAGAUAGUUUUUUUUUAAUCCUAAAUCAUACGGUAGCUAAAAAAAUAGAAAAGGAAAAAGAAAAUAGUAGAGUAGGAUUGCUAGGCCGGCACCAGGAUCCAAACGCAUUCAAAGGUUACAUCACCCAUCAAUUCUCAUAAAUUAUUAUUACCNUUAAGCAAUUCUUUACAAUUAACUCAACCGGUUAAAAUUGGGGAAGUUUCUUGCGAUUUUUUUUUCAUUUUUGAUACUCAUUGAUCUAAUUACAUUAAGUCUUUGUUUGGUUAGGGGUCAAGGGAUGGAAUAAUCUCUUAACCUCAUAUUAUUUCCAAACACCUCCAAAAAUUAGUGGGAUUAAUUAAUCCCACCUCAAAUGGGCUAUCCCGGGUUAGCUAACCCCACCUAACCCUAACCAAAUAUUAUUUUCUAUUCAUAAUAACCCUCUUUUUUUCUUAUCUCAUUUACUCCAAUUAAACACUAUUUUUUACUAUUCUGAGCUAACUUUAAUCCCCAACCAAAUACAAAAAUACUCUAAUUUCAUCUUAAUUCUGAAUUUAACUCUAUUUCUGAAAUAAUUAAUUUUUUUUUACUUCCGAAUCGAGC